GGGUACAGUGUAUAGGGAUGAAGUUAGUUGAACUCUCGACCUAGAAGCAACCCUAACCAUUUGUAUCGAAAAAACUCAAUAAAAGUUACUUAAAAAGUUUAAAUUUAACGGUAGAAAAAAUCAUUACUUAUUUGUAGUGCCGAGGCGGUGAUCUUGAUCUUCGAAAACCAACACCGUCACCGAACUGCACUGCGACCGGCGAGCACGAACACCGCACAAUCACAACCACACACCAACGCCGCCUUCAACCACCCUCCGAUCUCCACUCUGCUCUGACUACGCCUUAAGAUUCCCUCUAAGAAGGCUCUGGGAAUGGCAGCGGUUUGCAGUCAUUACAUCUUCAAUAAGUCCGGUGGAUUGAUCUACUAUAAGGAUUAUGGGUCUUCUGGACGCAUGGACACCAAUGAUAGCUUACGGGUGGCUAGCUUAUGGCAUUCAAUGCAUGCCAUCUCAGCAAUUAUCACCUGUUUCUGGUUGUGCAGGAAUUGAAUUACUCCAAGCUGACACAUUUGAUCUUCAUUGCUUCCAAUCACUAACAGGUUCAAUGUAAUAGCCCUGGCUUCCCACUGCUUUACCUCCAGUCAAGAGUGUUGCUCCUUCGCUCUUUCCAUGCUCAAUAUAGGAAAUAAUUUUUUCAAAUUGGUUCCUAUCAGCCUACAACAGACAACUGUUAUCAAACCAAUCAAGAUCAAAAGGAUCACCAACAAUCCAAGCUUUUGCUUUCUCCACCAACUUCUUCUCGACUUGAUCAUAUAUCCCUUCCUGAACAAACACACGGGAACUUGCGACACAAACUUCUCCCUGAAAAAACCAUAAGUUUAGAAAUAAAAUAUUGACUAGGCAAAGAUGUAAACAGAGGAUGCUCUUUGUAAGGAAAGGGUUUUAGGAAGACAAAAUUUCAAUUUCACCUUGUUAGUUAGGAGACCGAAAAGAGCUAGCUCAGCAGCUUUGUCGACAUCAGCAUCAUCGAAAAUAAUGAGAGGUGACUUCCCUCCUAGUUCUAGUGAAACAUGUUUUAAAUUACUCUUUGCUGCAGCUUGCAUUAUUUCGCGGCCUACUUCAACCGAACCAGUAAAGCUAACCUGAAGAUACAAAAAUCAAAGGGCUUAGCAGUCAUAGUUAGUUACCAACUUGGUAAUUGAACUUAUAAAUGUUUGACAUAUAUAAUUAACUUGCCACAUCUAUGUCCAUGUGUGAGCUAAUUGCAGCACCAGCAGUUGGGCCAAAUCCAGGUACUACAUUCAAAACUCCAUUUGGAAUUCCAGCCUUUGAAAAACAAAAAUAUUUAGUGAAGGUCCAAACUAAUCACCACGCCAAAGCGUAGACACACUAAUGUGUGCACAGGUCCACGCUAUUGGGAGAAUCUAAUUGUUUGCUCUUCCCGUCUAUGCCACGAGUUACUGCAUGGCAUUGCUUGACUAAUGGCACAACGACUCGUCACAAUGAAGUGUGACAUUAGCGUGUGCGUGCAUUGGCGUGGAACUCGUUAAUUGACAAUAUUAUUUAGUAUGUAGGUACUUACUAGCUUAGCUAGAUGAGCAUAAAACAAAGCUGAGAGAGGUGUUUGUUCAGCAGGUUUGAGGACCAUGGUGCAACCAGCAGCUAAAGCAGGACUAACUUUUACGAAGAAAAUUGAACUGGGCGCAUUCCAUGGAGUGAUAUGUCCCACAACUCCAAUUGGUUCCAUUAAUGUGUAAGCAUGGAAUUGGCCAGAAGAUUUUAAUACCUCACCAUGGAUUUUAUCAGCAGCACCUGCGUAGUAACGUAGUGUAUUUGCCGAUGAAGAGGGAAAUGAAAGUGAAUAAAACAUAUUCAAUCUGACAAAAAGAAAAAGAAUAAGUAACUUACGAAACCAGACAUUCGUGGCCAUGGACCCGAGUCAAAUGCCUCGCGCGCUGCUUUAACUGCAAUGUCAAU
Molecule: long non-coding RNA, 1917 nt
Organism: Lathyrus oleraceus (garden pea)
Lineage: Eukaryota; Viridiplantae; Streptophyta; Magnoliopsida; Fabales; Fabaceae
Exons: 6
Source: RefSeq, a predicted model, not a curated record